CGUGUAGGCGGUUUGGCAAGUCAGAUGUGAAAGCCCCGGGCUCAACCCGGGAAGUGCAUUUGAAACUGCUUCACUAGAGUAUGGGAGAGGAGAUUGGAAUUCCUGGUGUAGAGGUGAAAUUCGUAGAUAUCAGGAGGAACACCCGUGGCGAAGGCGAUUCUCUGGACCAAUACUGACGCUGAGACGCGAAAGCGUGGGGAGCAAACA
Molecule: ribosomal RNA, 207 nt
Filed under: uncultured bacterium
Lineage: Bacteria
Description: partial 16S ribosomal RNA
Rfam family: Bacterial small subunit ribosomal RNA
Source: RNAcentral